GAUGAACGCUGGCGGCGUGCCUAAUACAUGCAAGUCGAGCGAACAGACGAGGAGCUUGCUUCUCUGAUGUUAGCGGCGGACGGGUGAGUAACACGUGGAUAACCUACCUAUAAGACUGGGAUAACUUCGGGAAACCGUAGCUAAUACCGGAUAAUAUUUUGAACCGCAUGGUUCAAAAGUGAAAGACGGUCUUGCUGUCACUUAUAGAUGGAUCCGCGCUGCAUUAGCUAGUUGGUAAGGUAACGGCUUACCAAGGCAACGAUGCAUAGCCGACCUGAGAGGGUGAUCGGCCACACUGGAACUGAGACACGGUCCAGACUCCUACGGGAGGCAGCAGUAGGGAAUCUUCCGCAAUGGGCGAAAGCCUGGCGGAGCAACGCCGCGUGAGUGAUGAAGGUCUUCGGAUCGUAAAACUCUGUUAUUAGGGAAGAACAUAUGUGUAAGUAACUGUGCACAUCUUGACGGUACCUAAUCAGAAAGCCACGGCUAACUACGUG
RNAcentral lists this ribosomal RNA (497 nucleotides) under uncultured bacterium. Its description in RNAcentral is "partial 16S ribosomal RNA". It matches the Rfam family "Bacterial small subunit ribosomal RNA", at positions 28 to 507 of the family's 1533-position model. The record is from RNAcentral.